Molecule: long non-coding RNA, 396 nt
Organism: Carassius auratus (goldfish)
Lineage: Eukaryota; Metazoa; Chordata; Actinopteri; Cypriniformes; Cyprinidae
Exons: 4
Source: RefSeq, a predicted model, not a curated record
GGCCAAGAGCUCACAAUUAUAUGAUGAAACUGACGAGAGAUUCAGAGGACAGACUGAAGCUAGACAAUCAGACUGGAUCUCUUAGCAUCACAAACACCAGAACCACAAACGCUGGACUCUAUAAUGCGAAAAUCAGCAGCAACAAACAGACCUUAUACCAGAAAUACUUUGUUACUGUCAGUGUUCCAGGUCUGUCUCCGGCUGCUGUAGUAUGGAUUGUUGUUGUUGUUGUUCUGGCUGGUAAUAGUUGCAGCUGCUGGUGUUUUAUUUUUUUGGAGCAGGACCUCUGAACUAAAAAAUUCAAAAGUCCAACAUCUCUGAAUGCCAAAAUGAAACAUUGGAGAUCUCUGACAAACUAAAGCGAAUGUGUAAGUAUUAAAGCUGAAACAUCAGGAG